UAUUCUAACCGUGCAAAGGUAGCGCAAUCAAUUGCCUUUUAAAUGAAGGCCUGUAUGAAUGGUAUUACGAGGGUCUAGCUGUCUCUCUUUUCUAGUCAGUUAAACUGAUCUCUCCGUGCAGAAGCGGACAUAACUAUACAAGACGAGAAGACCCUAUGGAGCUUUAGACACCAGCCAACUGUGAAUAGCGACUGAACUAAACAAGUCCUAAAUACCCACGACCCCAUGGCAACGUAGUCUUAGGUUGGGGCGACCGCGGGAGAAAAUGAAGCUCCCAAGCAGACCGGGAUAAACCCUUGAGCCGAGAGUUGCAGCUCUAAGCCACAAAAAAUUUGACUGAAAUGAUCCGGUUGGAAAACCGAUUAACGAACCAAGUUACCCUAGGGAUAACAGCGCAAUCCCCUCCCAGAGUCCCUAUCGACGAGGGGGUUUACGACCUCGAUGUUGGAUCAGGACAUCCUAAUGGUGCAGCCGCUAU
RNAcentral lists this ribosomal RNA (478 nucleotides) under Anchovia macrolepidota (bigscale anchovy). RNAcentral's name for it is "partial 16S ribosomal RNA". It matches the Rfam family "Bacterial large subunit ribosomal RNA", at positions 1938 to 2565 of the family's 2925-position model. The record is from RNAcentral. Lineage: Eukaryota; Metazoa; Chordata; Actinopteri; Clupeiformes; Engraulidae.